ACAAGCCUGAGAAACGGCUAGUAGGACUAAGGUCUGCAGCAGGCGCGAAACUUACACAAUGCUAGAUUACAAUUAGCGAUGUAGUGAAGAAAAAUAACGAUGUACUUCCAUUUAAACAUGGUAGUACAAUUGGAAUGAGACGACUAUAAAUGAGUUAGUCGAGUAACAAAUGGAGGGCAAGUCUGGUGCCAGCAGCCGCGGUAAUUCCAGCUCCAUUAGCAUACAUUAAAGUUGUUGCGGUUAAAAAGCUCGUAGUUGAAUUUUAGGCGGGCUCUAUUGGGAUGCAAUCGUUAAGGUCUCUAUGAUUAAAUUUUCGCAAUUUGUCUAGACGACUGGUUGUAACUGCCCUAUAGGAACCCGCUGUUUCGUCACUUAAUCGAGUGCGAAGCGGGCUGGUACAAGUUUGCUUAAUUGCAUCUUUGUUUCAGCAUGUUUACCUUGAGAAAAUUAGAGUGCUCACAGCAGGCAGUUGGGGUGUAAAAGCUCCUUUAAUGCUUGAAUAAUGUUGCAUGGAAUAAUAGAAUACGGCCUCGGUUCUAUUCUGUUGGUCUUAUAGAACAACAAACAAGUUGGUUAAGGCGACCAAAAGUCCAUUUGUGAGUGUGGGCUACGAUAUAUUUGAGUCAGUUUGUAUGAUAGUUCUUGUUGUCUUUGGAUAAAACCUUAGUACCCUAGCUACUUAUAUUAAACCCUCUAAAUUGUCUAGCUCAUUUAAAGCAUUCCUUAUGUGGCUAGCCUUCUAAUCAACUGAGGCAAUGGUUAAAAGAAUAGUCGCGGCGGCAUCAGUACUGCAUCGUGAGAG
Molecule: ribosomal RNA, 802 nt
Filed under: Phyllocoptes machilus
Lineage: Eukaryota; Metazoa; Arthropoda; Arachnida; Trombidiformes; Eriophyidae
Description: partial 18S ribosomal RNA
Rfam family: Eukaryotic small subunit ribosomal RNA
Source: RNAcentral